GUCCAAAGUGUUGAGUUCGGUUCUGGGCCUCUCCCCAGUCCUGGUAAUUAUUCUUUGGCACAGAAAUGGCAUAGAGUGGCUCUGAAUAGAAAGUGGACAUGCCAGCCACUUGAUUCCACUCUAGCCAACAUGU
Molecule: small nucleolar RNA, 133 nt
Organism: Hucho hucho (huchen)
Lineage: Eukaryota; Metazoa; Chordata; Actinopteri; Salmoniformes; Salmonidae
Source: Ensembl